GUGCUCACUUUGGCAGCACAUUUACUAAAAUUGGAAAUACACAAAGAAGAUUAGCAUAAACCUUGCGCAAGGAUGAAAUACAAAUAUGUUGAGUGUUCCAUAUUUUA
Suncus etruscus (white-toothed pygmy shrew) is the source of this 107-nucleotide small nuclear RNA. The record is from RefSeq and is a predicted model, not a curated record. NCBI's taxonomy places the organism in Eukaryota, Metazoa, Chordata, Mammalia, Eulipotyphla, Soricidae.